This 876-nucleotide ribosomal RNA is filed under the name uncultured bacterium. Its description in RNAcentral is "bacterial SSU rRNA". It matches the Rfam family "Bacterial small subunit ribosomal RNA", at positions 50 to 916 of the family's 1533-position model. The record is from RNAcentral.
UACACAUGCAAGUCGAACGGCAGCAUGAUCUAGCUUGCUAGAUUGAUGGCGAGUGGCGAACGGGUGAGUAAUACAUCGGAACGUGCCCUGUAGUGGGGGAUAACUAGUCGAAAGAUUAGCUAAUACCGCAUACGACCUGAGGGUGAAAGUGGGGGACCGCAAGGCCUCAUGCUAUAGGAGCGGCCGAUGUCUGAUUAGCUAGUUGGUGGGGUAAAGGCCCACCAAGGCGACGAUCAGUAGCUGGUCUGAGAGGACGAUCAGCCACACUGGGACUGAGACACGGCCCAGACUCCUACGGGAGGCAGCAGUGGGGAAUUUUGGACAAUGGGCGAAAGCCUGAUCCAGCAAUGCCGCGUGUGUGAAGAAGGCCUUCGGGUUGUAAAGCACUUUUGUCCGGAAAGAAAUGGCUCUGGUUAAUACCUGGGGUCGAUGACGGUACCGGAAGAAUAAGGACCGGCUAAUUACGUGCCAGCAGCCGCGGUAAUACGUAGGGUCCAAGCGUUAAUCGGAAUUACUGGGCGUAAAGCGUGCGCAGGCGGUUGUGCAAGACCGAUGUGAAAUCCCCGAGCUUAACUUGGGAAUUGCAUUGGUGACUGCACGGCUAGAGUGUGUCAGAGGGGGGUAGAAUUCCACGUGUAGCAGUGAAAUGCGUAGAGAUGUGGAGGAAUACCGAUGGCGAAGGCAGCCCCCUGGGAUAACACUGACGCUCAUGCACGAAAGCGUGGGGAGCAAACAGGAUUAGAUACCCUGGUAGUCCACGCCCUAAACGAUGUCAACUAGUUGUUGGGGAUUCAUUUCCUUAGUAACGUAGCUAACGCGUGAAGUUGACCGCCUGGGGAGUACGGUCGCAAGAUUAAAACUCAAAGGAAUUGACGG